AUGGGACGGCCCGCUGGGCUGUUCCCGCCCCUAUGCCCUUUUUUGGGUUUCCGGCCAGAGGCAUGCUGGGAGCGUCACAUGCAAAUUGAGCGUGCACCCAGCGUUCCGCCCUUUCUACGCUGGGCCGGUUAUCGACCCGGCCCAGUGCGCAGGCGCGGGAAAGUUGAACUAAUAAAGUUUGUACGAGUUCAGUGGAGGAGACCGCAAGUUGAGUGGAGGAGGCGGCGGUGGGGCCCCGGACCAGGUGCCUCCAUGGCAGGCUCUGAAGAGCUGGGGCUCCGGGAAGACACGCUGAGGGUCCUAGCUGCCUUCCUUAGGCGUGGUGAGGCUGCCGGGUCUCCUGUUCCAACUCCACCUAGAAGCCCUGCCCAAGAAGAGCCAACAGACUUCCUGAGCCGCCUUCGAAGAUGUCUUCCCUGCUCCCUGGGGCGAGGAGCAGCCCCCUCUGAGUCCCCUCGGCCUUGCUCUCUGCCCAUCCGCCCCUGCUAUGGUUUAGAGCCUGGUAAGAGAUUUCCAUGAUCAUCUAUGAAGCCGGCAGAACACGGGAUAAGGCCCAGCUACUCCAGACUUCUAUGCUUUGGUGGCCCAGCGGCUGGAACAGCUGGUCCAAGAGCAGCUGAAAUCUCCGCCCAGCCCAGAAUUACAGGGUCCCCCAUCGACAGAGAAGGAAGCCAUACUGCGGAGGCUGGUGGCCCUGCUGGAGGAGGAGGCAGAAGUCAUUAACCAGAAGGUGAUGGGCAUCUGUCCCACUCCUUGGCAAGGACAGGAGUUGCGGAAUGGAGGGCAUCCUGGCUGUUUCACCCGUGGACUUGAACUUGCCAUUGGACUGAGCUCUUUCUCAGAAGCUGCUACAAGAUGACACCUCAUGUCCCUGCCCUCUUCGUGUGCUUUUCCAAGUCUUCCUAUUCCACUCAGGGCUGUGGGGUGGUGGUUGCCCUACCUGUUUUUGCCAAAAAUAAAUUGUUUAAAACUUUUCUUAUUAAAAACGUUACAAAGUA
Molecule: unclassified non-coding RNA, 998 nt
Filed under: Homo sapiens (human)
Lineage: Eukaryota; Metazoa; Chordata; Mammalia; Primates; Hominidae
Description: BCL2-like 12 (proline rich), transcript variant 51
Source: RNAcentral